GACGUAGGGCGCGAGCGUUGUCCGGAUUUAUUGGGCGUAAAGAGCUCGUAGGCGGCUUGUCGCGUCGUCCGUGAAAACCAGGGGCUCAACCCCUGGCUUGCGGUCGAUACGGGCAGGCUAGAGUUCGGUAGGGGAGACUGGAAUUCCUGGUGUAGCGGUGAAAUGCGCAGAUAUCAGGAGGAACACCGGUGGCGAAGGCGGGUCUCUGGGCCGAUACUGACGCUGAUGCGCGAAAGCUAGGGGAGCAAACGGG
Molecule: ribosomal RNA, 253 nt
Filed under: uncultured bacterium
Lineage: Bacteria
Description: partial 16S ribosomal RNA
Rfam family: Bacterial small subunit ribosomal RNA
Source: RNAcentral